Molecule: unclassified non-coding RNA, 249 nt
Filed under: Hevea brasiliensis (rubber tree)
Lineage: Eukaryota; Viridiplantae; Streptophyta; Magnoliopsida; Malpighiales; Euphorbiaceae
Source: RNAcentral
ACACACCCAGCCACCCACCCCACAUGGGAAAAACUCAGCAUUAGAAAGUAACGAUUGCAAUCUUGUUGCUGAUUUUUGUUGCCAUUGUAAAUUUGAAGGCUAUCUGUGGUCAGACACAGAUUUGUAACAUUGGUUGCUUUGUGUCUUCCUUCAAAUUGUUUAUCUGUUGUGAAUUUUUUGAACAGUUCUGAUUGUAUGUUUAAUUUUAUACCAGGAAUGAAAGUUUAUAUCACUGAUGAGAAGGAGCUG